Molecule: ribosomal RNA, 482 nt
Filed under: uncultured bacterium
Lineage: Bacteria
Description: partial 16S ribosomal RNA
Rfam family: Bacterial small subunit ribosomal RNA
Source: RNAcentral
GACGAACGCUGGCGGCGUGCUUAACGCAUGCAAGUCGAACGAUGAAGCCCAGCUUGCUGGGUGGAUUAGUGGCGAACGGGUGAGUAACACGUGGGCAACCUGCCCCAAACUCUGGGAUAACUCCUCGAAAGAGGUGCUAAUACCGGAUACGAACUAGACAGACAUCUGUACUAGUUGGAAAGUUUUUCGGUUUGGGAUGGGCCCGCGGCCCAUCAGCUUGUUGGUGAGGUAACGGCUCACCAAGGCUACGACGGGUAACCGGCCUGAGAGGGCGGCCGGUCACACUGGGACUGAGACACGGCCCAGACUCCUACGGGAGGCAGCAGUGGGGAAUAUUGCGCAAUGGGCGAAAGCCUGACGCAGCGACGCCGCGUGAGGGAUGAAGGUCUUCGGAUCGUAAACCUCUUUCAGUAGGGACGAAGCGAAAGUGACGGUACCUAAAGAAGAAGCACCGGCUAACUACGUGCCAGCAGCCGCCGCAG